GGUUGAGGGGGUAUUUAUCUGAGAGGGUAGUUGUGGUUGAGGGGGUAUUUAGCUUUGGGAGGGUAUUUGUGGUUGAUGGAGUAUUUAUCUGAGAGAACAGUUGUGGUUGAGGGGGUAUUUAGCUUUGAGAGGGUAUUUGUGGUUGAGGGGGUAUUUAUCUGAGAGGGCAGUUGUGGUUGAGGGGGUAUUUAGCUUUGAGAGGGUAGUUGUGGUUGAGGGGGUAUUUAGCUUUGGGAGGGUAGUUGUGGUUGAGGGGGUAUUUAACUUUGGGAGGGUAGUUGUGGUUGAGGGGGUAUUUAUCUGAGAGGGUAGUUGUGG
Molecule: long non-coding RNA, 318 nt
Organism: Ictalurus punctatus (channel catfish)
Lineage: Eukaryota; Metazoa; Chordata; Actinopteri; Siluriformes; Ictaluridae
Source: Ensembl